This 463-nucleotide ribosomal RNA is filed under the name uncultured bacterium. RNAcentral's name for it is "bacterial SSU rRNA". It matches the Rfam family "Bacterial small subunit ribosomal RNA", at positions 917 to 1382 of the family's 1533-position model. The record is from RNAcentral.
GGGCCCGCACAAGCGGCGGAGCAUGUGGCUUAAUUCGAGGCAACGCGAAGAACCUUACCUAGGCUUGACAUGCAGGGAAAUCCGGCAGAGAUGUCGGGUCCGCAAGGGCUCUGCACAGGUGGUGCAUGGUUGUCGUCAGCUCGUGUCGUGAGAUGUUGGGUUAAGUCCCGCAACGAGCGCAACCCUCGUCCUAUGUUGCCAGCGGUUCGGCCGGGGACUCAUAGGAGACUGCCGGGGUCAACUCGGAGGAAGGUGGGGAUGACGUCAAAUCAUCAUGCCCCUUAUGUCUAGGGCUGCACACAUGCUACAAUGGCCGGUACAAAGGGCUGCGAAGCCGUGAGGUGGAGCGAAUCCCAAAAAGCCGGUCUCAGUUCGGAUCGGGGUCUGCAACUCGACCCCGUGAAGUCGGAGUCGCUAGUAAUCGCAGAUCAGCAACGCUGCGGUGAAUACGUUCCCGGGCCUU